Malurus melanocephalus (red-backed fairy wren) is the source of this 466-nucleotide long non-coding RNA. RefSeq lists it as uncharacterized. The transcript is spliced from 3 exons. NCBI's taxonomy places the organism in Eukaryota, Metazoa, Chordata, Aves, Passeriformes, Maluridae. The record is from RefSeq and is a predicted model, not a curated record.
UUUGCUCUUGGACAUCUCUCAGAUGCAGAGAUAUGGAAGGGAGAUAAGGAAAUCUACUGCUUCAGAAGCAUAUUAAAAUGUAUGUUAAGGUUGGUGAAGCCUCUACAAUGGGACUGGUCUUUUUGAAACAAGGAAACAGCUGUCCCUGGUGUCUAACCUGAAGGAUGUUCUGUACCCUGCAGCUUUUCAGGAGUUUAAAACGAUGCUUUGAGCUGUGUGUUGGCGUGCAGCUGGUGAUGCCAGAAUCAGAAGCCCACUGCUUUCACUGGAAAUCUCUGAACAGGAGUCUCGGUGUACUUUGCAUCAUCAAGAGAAUAUCUGAAGGAUUUCAGUGCAGAAAAGUUCUUUGGAAUAAAUUUAAUGCUGGAAAAAAUGAUGUCAUGUAAUAACAAAACUGGCAAGUUCAUUCACAGGGUUACACCUCAUACAGUCAGCUGAGGCAGGGGCGUCCUUUCGGCUCUUCCCA